ACCUGGGUGGCUCAGUUGGUUAAGCAUCUGACUUUGACUCAGGUCAUAAUCUCACAGUUCAGUUCAUGAGUUCGAGCCCCAUGUCAGGUU
RNAcentral lists this transfer RNA (90 nucleotides) under Felis catus (domestic cat). It matches the Rfam family "tRNA". Rfam says of the family: Transfer RNA (tRNA) molecules are approximately 80 nucleotides in length. Their secondary structure includes four short double-helical elements and three loops (D, anti-codon, and T loops). Lineage: Eukaryota; Metazoa; Chordata; Mammalia; Carnivora; Felidae. The record is from Rfam by way of RNAcentral.